CCCUUAGAUGUUCGGGGCCGCACGCGCGCUACACUGAAGGAAUCAGCGUGCUCUUGUCCUGGUCUGGAAAGACUGGGUAACCCGUUGAACCUCCUUCGUGCUAGGGAUUGGGGCUUGCAAUUAUUCCCCAUGAACGAGGAAUUCCCAGUAAGCGCAAGUCAUCAGCUUGUGUUGAUUACGUCCCUGCCCUUUGUACACACCGCCCGUCGCUACUACCGAUUGGGAAAAUUUUAGAGAGUCCUGGACUGAUGAUUGUUCGGCUUCACGGCCUUACUUUCGUCGGGAAAGAAUUCGAUAAUAUUUUUCUAGAGGAAGUAAAAGUCGUAACA
This 329-nucleotide ribosomal RNA is filed under the name uncultured eukaryote. RNAcentral's name for it is "partial 18S ribosomal RNA". It matches the Rfam family "Eukaryotic small subunit ribosomal RNA", at positions 1470 to 1796 of the family's 1831-position model. The record is from RNAcentral.